UAGGGAAUCUUCGGCAAUGGACGGAAGUCUGACCGAGCAACGCCGCGUGAGUGAAGAAGGUUUUCGGAUCGUAAAGCUCUGUUGUAAGAGAAGAACGAGUGUGAGAGUGGAAAGUUCACACUGCGACGGUAUCUUACCAGAAAGGGACGGCUAACUACGUGCCAGCAGCCGCGGUAAUACGUAGGUCCCGAGCGUUGUCCGGAUUUAUUGGGCGUAAAGCGAGCGCAGGCGGUUAGAUAAGUCUGAAGUUAAAGGCUGUGGCUUAACCAUAGUACGCUUUGGAAACUGUUUAACUUGAGUGCAAGAGGGGAGAGUGGAAUUCCAUGUGUAGCGGUGAAAUGCGUAGAUAUAUGGAGGAACACCGGUGGCGAAAGCGGCUCUCUGGCUUGUAACUGACGCUGAGGCUUGAAAGCGUGGGGAGCAAACAGGAUUAGAUACCCUGGUAGUCCACGCCGUAAACGAUGAGUGCUAGGUGUUAGACCCUUUCCGGGGUUUAGUGCCGCAGCUAACGCAUUAAGCACUCCGCCUGGGGAGUACGACCGCAAGGUUG
RNAcentral lists this ribosomal RNA (550 nucleotides) under uncultured bacterium. RNAcentral's name for it is "bacterial SSU rRNA". It matches the Rfam family "Bacterial small subunit ribosomal RNA", at positions 355 to 896 of the family's 1533-position model. The record is from RNAcentral.